Rhizobium sp. PDO1-076 is the source of this 123-nucleotide small RNA. It matches the Rfam family "Alphaproteobacterial ar14". Rfam says of the family: Smr14C2 was renamed NfeR1 (Nodule Formation Efficiency RNA) highly expressed in salt stress and during the symbiotic interaction on legume roots. The record is from Rfam. NCBI's taxonomy places the organism in Bacteria, Pseudomonadati, Pseudomonadota, Alphaproteobacteria, Hyphomicrobiales, Rhizobiaceae.
GUGUUUCAGGCGACCCACUCCUCCUCCCAGGGGAGCCUGUAGGAACAGCGGCACUCCUCCUCCCAGUCGCUGUUCAUCCAUUCGAAAAGCCUGCCGCACCUCCUCCCGCGGCAGGCUUUUUCG